Molecule: ribosomal RNA, 506 nt
Filed under: uncultured bacterium
Lineage: Bacteria
Description: partial 16S ribosomal RNA
Rfam family: Bacterial small subunit ribosomal RNA
Source: RNAcentral
AGUGAACGCUGGCGGUAGGCCUAACACAUGCAAGUCGAACGGCAGCACAGGAGAGCUUGCUCUCUGGGCGGCGAGUGGCGGACGGGUGAGGAAUACAUCGGAAUCUACUCUGUCGUGGGGGAUAACGUAGGGAAACUUACGCUAAUACCGCAUACGACCUACGGGUGAAAGCAGGGGACCUUCGGGCCUUGCGCGAUUGAAUGAGCCGAUGUCGGAUUAGCUAGUUGGCGGGGUAAAGGCCCACCAAGGCGAAGAUCCGUAGCUGGUCUGAGAGGAGGAUCAGCCACACGGGAACUGAGACACGGUCCAGACGCCUACGGGAGGCAGCAGUGGGGAAUAUUGGACAAUGGGCGCAAGCCUGAUCCAGCCAUACCGCGUGGGUGAAGAAGGCCUUCGGGUUGUAAAGCCCUUUUGUUGGGAAAGAAAUCCAGCUGGCUAAUACCCGGUUGGGAUGACGGUACCCAAAGAAUAAGCACCGGCUAACUUCGUGCCAGCAGCCGCAGUAA